Molecule: small RNA, 819 nt
Filed under: Pongo abelii (Sumatran orangutan)
Lineage: Eukaryota; Metazoa; Chordata; Mammalia; Primates; Hominidae
Description: processed transcript
Source: RNAcentral
AGGUGAGAUGAGUGAGAGCCGAGCAAAGAGAGUUAGAAUAAAAGAGGUAGAUGGCUGGACCCUGAGGAUGCUAAUUGAUUACGUUUACACUGCAGAAAUUCAGGUUACAGAAGAAAAUGUACAGAGCAACAUUUUGCAGAUGUCGUACUUAGUGAAGAAUUUCUCAAUCUUGGCAUCGAACAAGUGUGCAGCUUAAUCUCAAGCGACAAACUUACCAUUUCUUCAGAAGAGAAGGUAUUUGAAGCAGUAAUAGCGUGGGUGAACCACGACAAGGAUGUGAGGCAAGAGUUUAUGGCCCGACUGAUGGAACAUGUACGGUUACCUUUGCUUCCUCGGGAAUAUUUAGUUCAGAGGGUUGAAGAGGAAGCAUUGGUCAAGAAUAGCAGUGCUUGCAAAGAUUACCUCAUUGAAGCAAUGAAGUAUCAUUUGCUGCCAACAGAGCAGCGUAUAUUAAUGAAGAGUGUCCGGACUCGGCUGAGGACACCCAUGAACCUUCCCAAAUUGAUGGUGGUGGUUGGGGGCCAAGCACCAAAGGCUAUCCGGAGUGUGGAAUGCUAUGACUUUAAAGAAGAAAGGUGGCACCAAGUAGCAGAGUUGCCUUCCAGGAGGUGCAGGGCAGGCAUGGUCUACAUGGCUGGACUUGUUUUUGCUGUUGGUGGCUUUAAUGGCUCAUUAAGAGUUCGCACUGUAGAUUCCUACGACCCUGUGAAGGACCAGUGGACCAGCGUUGCUAACAUGAGAGACCGGAGAAGCACUUUGGGAGCUGCUGUGUUAAAUGGAUUGUUAUACGCUGUGGGAGGCUUUGAUGGGAGUACAGGU